Molecule: non-coding RNA, 21 nt
Filed under: Caenorhabditis elegans
Lineage: Eukaryota; Metazoa; Nematoda; Chromadorea; Rhabditida; Rhabditidae
Source: RNAcentral
UGAAUUCGCGAAUGCAAAAUA